GUAGGGUGCGAGCGUUAAUCGGAAUUACUGGGCGUAAAGCGUGCGCAGGCGGUGAGUCAAGUCUGAUGUGAAAGCCCCGGGCUCAACCUGGGAACGGCAUUGGAAACUGGCUCGCUGGAGUGUGGCAGAGGGGGGUGGAAUUCCGCGUGUAGCAGUGAAAUGCGUAGAGAUGCGGAGGAACACCGAUGGCGAAGGCAGCCCCCUGGGCCAACACUGACGCUCAGGCACGAAAGCGUGGGGAGCAAACAGGAUUAGAUACCCUGGUAGUCCACGCCCUAAACGAUGGCCACUGGGUGUUGGGGAAGCGAUUCCUUGGUACCGCAGCUAACGCGUGAAGUGGCCCGCCUGGGGAGUACGGCCGCAAGGUUA
RNAcentral lists this ribosomal RNA (369 nucleotides) under uncultured bacterium. RNAcentral describes it as "bacterial SSU rRNA". It matches the Rfam family "Bacterial small subunit ribosomal RNA", at positions 527 to 896 of the family's 1533-position model. The record is from RNAcentral.